GCUUACGGCCAUACCACUCUGUCUGCGCCCAAUCUCGUCUGCGCCCGAUCUUGUCUGAUCUCGGAAUCUAAGCAGGGUCGGGCCUGGUUAGUAGUUGGAUGGGAGACUGCCUGGGAAUACCAGGUGCUGUAAGCU
Molecule: ribosomal RNA, 135 nt
Filed under: Sinocyclocheilus anshuiensis
Lineage: Eukaryota; Metazoa; Chordata; Actinopteri; Cypriniformes; Cyprinidae
Source: RNAcentral